GAUGAAGAACGUAGUGAAAUGCGAUAAGUAAUGUGAAUUGCAGAAUUCAGUGAAUCAUCGAAUCUUUGAACGCACAUUGCGCCCGCCAGCAUUCUGGCGGGCAUGCCUGUUCGAGCGUCAUUUCAACCCUCGAGCCCCCCCGGGGGCCUCGGUGUUGGGGGACGGCACACCAGCCGCCCCCGAAAUGCAGUGGCGACCCCGCCGCAGCCUCCCCUGCGUAGUAGCACACACCUCGCACCGGAGCGCGGAGGCGGUCACGCCGUAAAACGCCCAACUUUCUUAGAGUUGACCUCGGAUCAGGUAGGAAUACCCGCUGAACUUAAGCAUAUCAUAAGCGGAGGA
RNAcentral lists this unclassified non-coding RNA (342 nucleotides) under soil metagenome. Its description in RNAcentral is "partial contains 5.8S ribosomal RNA, internal transcribed spacer 2, and large subunit ribosomal RNA". The stretch from base 1 to 120 matches the Rfam family "5.8S ribosomal RNA", at positions 35 to 154 of the family's 154-position model. The record is from RNAcentral.